UACGUAGGGGGCGAGCGUUGUCCGGAAUUACUGGGCGUAAAGGGUGCGUAGGCGGUCGCAUAAGUUGGAUGUGAAAUACCCGGGCUUAACUUGGGGGGUGCAUUCAAAACUGUGAGACUAGAGUACAGGAGAGGGAAGCGGAAUUCCUAGUGUAGCGGUGAAAUGCGUAGAUAUUAGGAGGAACACCGGUGGCGAAGGCGGCUUUCUGGACUGACACUGACGCUGAGGCACGAAAGCGUGGGGAGCAAACAGG
Molecule: ribosomal RNA, 253 nt
Filed under: uncultured bacterium
Lineage: Bacteria
Description: partial 16S ribosomal RNA
Rfam family: Bacterial small subunit ribosomal RNA
Source: RNAcentral